CAGCCGCCGCGGUAAUACCGGCGGCCCGAGUGGCGGCCACUAUUAUUGGGCUUAAAGCGUCCGUAGCCGGGUUGGUUAGUCUCCCGGGAAAUCUGGCCGCUUAACGGUCAGAAUUCCGGGAGAUACUGCCAGCCUAGGGACCGGGAGAGGCCGAGGGUAUUCCCGGAGUAGGGGGGAAAUCCUAUAAUCCCGGGAGGACCACCUGUGGCGAAGGCGCUCGGCUGGAACGGGUCCGACGGUGAGGGACGAAGGCCAGGGGAGCAAACCGGAUUAGAUACCCGGGUAGUCCUGGCUGUAAACGAUGCGGACUUUGUGUCGGACAAGCUAUGAGCUUGUCCGGUGCCGGAGGGAAACCGUUAAGUCCGCCGCCUGGGGAGUACGGCCGCAAGGCUGAAACUUAAAGGAAUUGGCGGG
Molecule: ribosomal RNA, 414 nt
Filed under: uncultured microorganism
Description: bacterial SSU rRNA
Rfam family: Archaeal small subunit ribosomal RNA
Source: RNAcentral